GAUGAACGCUGGCGGCGUGCCUAAUACAUGCAAGUCGAGCGAACAGACGAGGAGCUUGCUCCUCUGACGUUAGCGGCGGACGGGUGAGUAACACGUGGAUAACCUACCUAUAAGACUGGGAUAACUUCGGGAAACCGGAGCUAAUACCGGAUAAUAUAUUGAACCGCAUGGUUCAAUAGUGAAAGACGGUUUUGCUGUCACUUAUAGAUGGAUCCGCGCCGCAUUAGCUAGUUGGUAAGGUAACGGCUUACCAAGGCAACGAUGCGUAGCCGACCUGAGAGGGUGAUAGGCCACACUGGAACUGAGACACGGUCAAGACUCCUACGGGAGGCAGCAGUAGGGAAUCUUACGCAAUGGGCGAAAGCAUGACGGAGCAACGCCGCGUGAGUGAUGAAGGUCUUCGGAUCGUAAAACUCUGUUAUUAGGGAAGAACAAAUGUGUAAGUAACUAUGCACGUCUUGACGGUACCUAAUCAGAAAGCCACGGCUAACUACGUG
This 497-nucleotide ribosomal RNA is filed under the name uncultured bacterium. RNAcentral describes it as "partial 16S ribosomal RNA". It matches the Rfam family "Bacterial small subunit ribosomal RNA", at positions 28 to 507 of the family's 1533-position model. The record is from RNAcentral.